Molecule: transfer RNA, 66 nt
Filed under: Diatraea saccharalis (sugarcane borer)
Lineage: Eukaryota; Metazoa; Arthropoda; Insecta; Lepidoptera; Crambidae
Description: tRNA-Gly
Source: RNAcentral
AUUUAUAUAAUAUAUUUAGUAUACUUGACUUCCAAUCAAAUAGUUUAAUUUAAUUUAAUAUAAAUA